Molecule: long non-coding RNA, 1085 nt
Filed under: Cyanistes caeruleus (blue tit)
Lineage: Eukaryota; Metazoa; Chordata; Aves; Passeriformes; Paridae
Description: lncRNA (ENSCCEG00000004395.1)
Source: RNAcentral
CUGAAGUAAGGUGAGAUUCUGUGUCCCUCAUCCCUUUUAAGCACCUCAAUUCCACGCCAGGGCUGGGCAGCAGUUGCUGGGUUUAUUUUCAAUUUUGUUCAAAAUGCAAUAUGUCUGCUGAAAAUAUCCAACGUGCAAUUUCGCAUUACAACAGAACAAAACACUUUCUUCUAGCAGGGAAUACUGUAGGGCCCAAUUUUUCAUUGCUUGGAUUUCUAUUUUUAAGGUUUUUUCCACCCAAACAAAUGCUUUUGCUCUGACAGCGCUUAAUAACAAGUUUGACCUUGGAGUGUGUAAGUUGAAAUGAUUUCAGAGAACGCUCAGCAGAAAAUCAGGGGCCAGGGAUUUUUUUCCUUAUUUGAAUUUUAUUAUUUUGGGAGAAGGGGGAAUCCCUUGUUUCACAGAAGAAAUUACUUUUGAGCCGCAGAGUGAAGACUUUUUGCACGAGCACAUGAAGAGCCACAACUUUUUCUGCUUCCUGCAGUUGAAACAGAACUGUCGCCACAGCCAAAGCAACUUUGCUGCUUCCCCCUGGGAAUAUCCCUAAAAAUACAGGAAAGAGAGCUGAGAACUGCUUGAGUGUGUGCUGGGAAAGGAAGGUUAUCCUAGGAGCCAGGGCACCUUGAGCAUCAUCCCUCCCUGGCAGCGCCGGGGGCUGGCACAGCUCGGAGAGGAUCCUUGCUUUUUCCAGUGGAUUCAUGUCCAGCAUUCCCAUCCUCAUUAUCAAACCCCAUUCCCAAGAAAGGUACAGCUUGGAUAGAGGAGCUAUCACUGACUGCUGUUCGCUGUGUUUUUGAACAUAUACAAUUCUUUUCAUCUGAAGCACACCAGGUAUGCAGGUUCAGCCUCUGGAACUGUGGACAUUCCCUCCCAGGACAUCCUGACCACAUAGAAUCUGACAGUAAUGGCACUUCAUUUCACGAGCAAGCCUUUCAUCAAACAAGUAUUACUUUCUGCCAUAGAGAUAAUUUAUUCUUUAUGUAUAAUUGAUUUGUGCCUGCACUUAAAAAUGUCUUUUGAAAUCCAUAUUAUAACUAAUACUGUCAUAUAAUAAAAAGCAACACUUUUAAUUUAAAGUUAAUUAU